UACGGGGGGGGCAAGCGUUGUUCGGAAUUACUGGGCGUAAAGGGCUCGUAGGCGGCCAACUAAGUCGGACGUGAAAUCCCUCGGCUCAACCGAGGAACUGCGUCCGAUACUGGUGGGCUUGAAUCCGGGAGAGGGAUGUGGAAUUCCAGGUGUAGCGGUGAAAUGCGUAGAUAUCUGGAGGAACACCGGUGGCGAAGGCGGCAUCCUGGACCGGUAUUGACGCUGAGGCGCGAAAGCUAGGGGAGCAAACGGG
RNAcentral lists this ribosomal RNA (253 nucleotides) under uncultured bacterium. RNAcentral describes it as "partial 16S ribosomal RNA". It matches the Rfam family "Bacterial small subunit ribosomal RNA", at positions 524 to 776 of the family's 1533-position model. The record is from RNAcentral.